This 440-nucleotide ribosomal RNA is filed under the name uncultured bacterium. RNAcentral describes it as "partial 16S ribosomal RNA". It matches the Rfam family "Bacterial small subunit ribosomal RNA", at positions 338 to 795 of the family's 1533-position model. The record is from RNAcentral.
CCUACGGGAGGCUGCAGUAGGGAAUUUUGCGCAAUGGGCGAAAGCCUGACGCAGCAACGCCGCGUGAUCGAGACGCCCUUCGGGGUGUAAAGAUCUGUCAGUGGGGACGAUACUUGACGUUACCCACAGAGGAAGCACCGGCUAACUCCGGGCCAGCAGCCGCGGUAAUACGGGGGGUGCAGGCGUUUUCCGGAAUAAUUGGGCGUAAAGAGUCCGUAGGCGGCACGUAAAGUCUGGUGUUAAAGGCAGAGGCUCAACUUCUGUACGGCACUGGGAACUUGCGAGCUAGAAUGCGGAGAAGGUAGAGGGAAUUCCUGGUGUAGCGGUGAAAUGCUUAGAUAUCAGGAGGAACAUCGAUGGCGUAGGCACUUUGCUGAGCCGUAAUUGACGCUGAGGAACGAAAGCCAGGGUAGCGAAUGGGAUUAGAUACCCUUGUAGUC